Non-coding RNA from Pantherophis guttatus, 1760 nucleotides. The record is from RefSeq and is a predicted model, not a curated record. NCBI's taxonomy places the organism in Eukaryota, Metazoa, Chordata, Lepidosauria, Squamata, Colubridae.
GACUGGACAGCCAUUUGUUCAGAAUGGUAUAGGGCCGUGAUGGCGAACCUAUGGCACGCGUGCCACAGGUGGCACCCGGAGCCAUAUCUGCAAGCACGCGAGCCAUUGCCUUAGCUGAGCUCCAGUCAGCUGAUUUUUGGCUGCCCCUCCCCUCCCAGGAGUUUCCACGCAGCCCGUUUUGGAUGCCAGGUAGUCUUUUUCUGGUGGACAUUAAAGAUGAAAACCUGGGCAAUCUGGAAACGGGGCUUUGCAACAACCAGGCGAAACUUAUGGAGGAAGCCUUAGCCGCUGCUGAAGAUCUCUCUGUUCCAGGCCAAAAGAACAUUAAAGUGGAGGCUUCGUCAAUGAGCUUCCUUCCUCUGUACCGAGAUGACAGUGAAUGCUGCCUCCUGGUACUCACUGAUCCCCAAGAUAAGAACACAGUAUUAGCAAUUUAUUUGAACAACUCCUGGCGGCUUCCUGAGGAUGUAAUCAAGACGUCUGACCCUUUGCGGGAAGGCCUGAAACAGGUUCAAACCUGUCAAGAGAGAAUCGUUCUCUUCGUCCUUAACUGCAUCAUUUUUGGCACGUUGGAGAGGAGCCUGACUGACGAUACAGUCUUUGUUCCUCAUCCUAAGAAGGAAGAUGCCAGAAUAUUCUGGAAGAGUGGAGAAGCAGCGGCUUUUUAUACUGUCAAAAGAAAAGGAAAUUUGUGUGAUGGACACACCAGCCAAUGUUAUAUGCUCCCUGUUCUGGACACCAUGUUCGUACGAAAAAAGUUUAGAAGAUGUGGACUUGGGAUAAAGAUGCUUCAGGAUUUUUGUCAGUCGUUCCCCUCGGAGGAUGCCUUGGGACUCAGCAGUCCUCUUUCGGCUGAAAUGGAGAAAGUUUGUCAAAAGUUCUUGGAGACUUACCCAAAACAGCAGCCUCGGCUGUGGGAAGUGGAAGCACCCGGAGACUGGACUCAGCGUGUUAACAUCUGGCUAAAAAUCCAACUGGAACAAAAUGCGGACCGAAGUUCUCCCAUGCCAGAGGGUCAAGAUGGUGAAGCCGAGGAAGGACGGAUAAAUACGAACUGAUCAUAACCUGCUGAAACCCACUUCUGGAGUGGCUGUGCCUGCAGCACACGGAGUGGAACCGCAUGUAAGCGAAGCAUGUACCUGUUUGGCACUCGGAGUUCUUGAAAUAUCCAGGAGUAAAAUAGCAGCAACGGGUGGAGUGAAUCCUAAGGCUUGCAGCCGAAAGAUAGUCCGAGGAAGCUGACCUUCAUGAGCGUGGCUGUGUAUCCUACCAGGUGUUGUGGCCUGUGAGCAGCUGGCCCCUCCAACAGCCGAAUCAGAGGAGGAGGAGGGUGGGAGUCAGAGUCAGCAUCAAGGCAACCUGAGAGCUCCGAGGGGGAAGAGGGAAUGGAGCUGGCAGAGAGGGAGAAAGAGGCGGAGCCUGGGCCAUUCAUCAGCCCUCAGGUGGACAGUCAACAUCCUCCAGGUCUGGAGGUGGCUGAUGAGGAAGAGGAGGAACAGCUGGGUCCAGUGCCUGACGCGUGGAUGUGCAGAAGGCAGAGGAGAGGAGGGCAGUGGAAAUCCAUGGGCCAGUCCUUGGAACGGAAGAGCCACUGCUGCUAGCAAAGCCCCACCCUAGCUCUGGGGAUAAAAGGCAGGGGCAGAAAUGAAUAGGUGUGGCAAACAACACCUAUUCCAGUUGGGCAAACUUGUUAGCCUGCGAGAGAAACUUUUUGCCAGGACUGCCGGCAUUCCUAAUAAAGGAAUGUUUGUUUAUGUUUA